CCUACGGGGGGCAGCAGUAGGGAAUCUUCCACAAUGGACGAAAGUCUGAUGGAGCAACGCCGCGUGAGUGAAGAAGGGUUUCGGCUCGUAAAGCUCUGUUGGUAGUGAAGAAAGAUAGAGGUAGUAACUGGCCUUUAUUUGACGGUAAUUACUUAGAAAGUCACGGCUAAAUACGUGCCAGCAGCCGCGUUAAUACGUAGGUGGCAAGCGUUGUCCGGAUUUAUUGGGUGUAAAGCGAGUGCAGGCGGUUCAAUAAGUCUGAUGUGAAAGCCUUCGGCUCAACCGGAGAAUUGCAUCAGAAACUGUUGGACUUGAGUGCAGAAGAGGAGAGUGGAACUCCAUGUGUAGCGGUGGAAUGCGUAGAUAUAUGGAAGAACACCAGUGGCGAAGGCGGCUUUCUGGUCUGCAACUGACGCUGAGGCUCGAAAGCAUGGGUAGCGAACAGGAUUAGAUACCCUGGUAGUC
This 465-nucleotide ribosomal RNA is filed under the name uncultured bacterium. Its description in RNAcentral is "partial 16S ribosomal RNA". It matches the Rfam family "Bacterial small subunit ribosomal RNA", at positions 338 to 795 of the family's 1533-position model. The record is from RNAcentral.